Molecule: ribosomal RNA, 301 nt
Filed under: uncultured bacterium
Lineage: Bacteria
Description: partial 16S ribosomal RNA
Rfam family: Bacterial small subunit ribosomal RNA
Source: RNAcentral
CAGCAGCCGCGGGAAUACGAAGGGGGCUAGCGUUGCUCGGAAUGACUGGGCGUAAAGGGCGCGUAGGCGGCGAUCAAAGUCAGGCGUGAAAUUCCUGGGCUCAACCUGGGGGCUGCGCUUGAUACUGGGUUGCUUGAGUGGGGAAGAGGGUCGUGGAAUUCCCAGUGUAGAGGUGAAAUUCGUAAAUAUUGGGAAGAACACCGGUGGCGAAGGCGGCGACCUGGUCCUUUACUGACGCUGAGGCGCGAAAGCGUGGGGAGCGAACAGGAUUAGAUACCCCGGUAGUCCCUGUCUCUUAUAC